Molecule: ribosomal RNA, 254 nt
Filed under: uncultured bacterium
Lineage: Bacteria
Description: partial 16S ribosomal RNA
Rfam family: Bacterial small subunit ribosomal RNA
Source: RNAcentral
UACGAAGGGGGCUAGCGUUGUUCGGAAUUACUGGGCGUAAAGCGCGCGUAGGCGGUUUUGCAAGCCAGAGGUGAAAUGCCUGAGCUCAACUUGGGAAUUGCCUUUGGGACUGCGAGGCUUUGAGGACUGGAGAGGUGAGUGGAAUUCCCAGUGUAGAGGUGAAAUUCGUAGAUAUUGGGAAGAACACCGGUGGCGAAGGCGGCUCACUGGCCAGUUUCUGACGCUGUAGCGCGAAAGCGUGGGGAUCAAACAGG